CAUUGGAAAAGAUACCAUCAUUUUUCUCAAGACUUUUUACGGUAUAUUGACAAAUUUCUGAUUUGAACAAGCUCUUCACUUCUCUCGAAACAGAUAUGGGAUUUCUAGAGAAAAACUGCUGUGAUGUGAGUCAUAACAAGUCCCUGUUAGUGUUAUAUAUUUUCUGUUAACCGAAACUUGUACUUAACCCUCUAAGGGCCAUAUGUAGUAAAAUGCAUCAUAAUGUAAAUACUCUAUGCGGUCUGCGUUAAAGAACUCGAGAUUAACAAACUUUUAGGCGGACACACACAAUGUGUAUAGCAUCGUGUUGUGACUCUGUUGGGGCCA
Molecule: long non-coding RNA, 327 nt
Organism: Xenia sp. Carnegie-2017
Lineage: Eukaryota; Metazoa; Cnidaria; Anthozoa; Malacalcyonacea; Xeniidae
Exons: 2
Source: RefSeq, a predicted model, not a curated record